This 253-nucleotide ribosomal RNA is filed under the name uncultured bacterium. RNAcentral's name for it is "partial 16S ribosomal RNA". It matches the Rfam family "Bacterial small subunit ribosomal RNA", at positions 524 to 776 of the family's 1533-position model. The record is from RNAcentral.
UACAGAGGUGGCAAGCGUUGUUCGGAAUUACUGGGCGUAAAGGGCGCGUAGGCGGCCAACUAAGUCAGACGUGAAAUCCCUCGGCUUAACCGGGGAACUGCAUCUGAUACUGGAUGGCUUGAGUUCGGGAGAGGGAUGCGGAAUUCCAGGUGUAGCGGUGAAAUGCGUAGAUAUCUGGAGGAACACCGGUGGCGAAGGCGGCAUCCUGGACCGACACUGACGCUGAGGAGCGAAAGCCAGGGGAGCAAACGGG